UCAGAUAAAACCCUAAGUCUGGGUGUUGGUUGCAUUUGGAUCCUUUUCUUUAUUUAUUUGAUGAUUAUAUUUGGUACUUAAGGACCGUCAACAACUCCCCCAAGCUUACCUCUUGCUCGUCCCUGAGCAAGGAUGGACUCAAGAGUUUCUGCAGUGGUUUUAUUUCUUAGAAGUACACACGCAUUUAAGCAAGAUCUCAUCUCUGAGUUAGAAUAAACUGUUAAGACUUAAAACUUACUCAUUUUACCUUUCACCAUGGGGCUUGUAACGUCACUUGUGUCUUGAGCAGUUAAAAGAUAGAACGGUCAAGUCAAGCACCAUGUAUCUUGUUCUUUGAUCAACUAUAGCUCUGGAGUUUUUGCAGAUUUUCAAAUAAAACUCAGAGAUUCCUUGUAUAAUUCUCUCAAGUCUCUCUUUUGUGGUAUUUCUGGAUCCUUACCAAGGCAGUAAUGGGAUAUGCCUUCUCUCACAGUAUGUGGUAUUUUUGGUAUGAGGCAUAGUGAUAUUGCCUUCUCUCUCACCCUACUCUAGUAAGGUUUUGAUAUCUGGAGCUCAUAGGUGGGAGACAGCUAAUACAUACUUACAAGACAUUUAUUGCAUAGUCAAACCAUGGAUACAGAGAAACAAGUCAAUAAGUCAAAUCAAGAUGUGCAUGUGUGGCGAGUGAAUGGUGUAUGGUGAUGAUGGAGAUAACAAUGGUGAAAGUCUAAUUCUACUUUUGCUCUUUUAAGGGGAUACAUACCUUUCUUGCACUUAGAAGCUUUUUGGGGAGAAUAGAUGCUCUAUAUUUUCUUUUUCUUACCUCUCAGGUGGGUAUCUUGUACACUUUUUCUUUUCUUCGAGGUUCCAGGCACUUGCCCCUUUUUAUUUCCGCGUAUAUUUUUUUUUCUCUCUUUUUUUUAGAGCACUCAUCUCCUGAAAUAAUGUAGCAAGUGGUAGUAACCAAAAUAACUGGAGCAUUUAUUUCACAAGGGGAAACAGAAAUAUUUUUGGUUAUUCUCUCCCGGAUUAGGAGUAGAAUACUUUUGGGUGGUUUUGGAGAUGGAAAUGAGUGGAUAUAUGUGGAUGGUACUUCCGGAGUAGAAGUAGCAUGUAAGAGUGAACGUGCAAGUGAAUCUUGAUUUAACCACAUGACAAGCUCCUAAGGGUCUACACAGCUUGACCACACUCAAUGCUCAUAAGCAGUAAAUAGUAAAUGUGUGGCUCAAGGUCUAGCAAGCAUGUAUAUAUGCUGUGGUAGGAAUUUAAACUCUCAUCAUACAGGAACUCAUCAUGCAACAUUUUAAAGAUUUUCAAAGAUAAAAUUCUCCAGAAUUCUAGCAUCUCUAGGAACAGAUAAACAGCAGCUCAACCUUCCCAUAUCGUAUCCGUUAACAACUUAGACUUCAGAUCAAGUUUUCAUCCCACAAAUUUAGGUCUAGAGCAAGCCUUAAAUUAUAACACUUAUAUCUAAACUUGAGAGAGAACUUCAAAUUUGCAAAUUAGGCAGAGUAACUAUUCAUCAUAUCCAUGCUUAAGUUUUAUUAGAUACCGAUUAGCAUAGCCACUUUAUUUAUUUAUUAAACACACUAAGCAAAAUAUAUAUAAGCAUAAAAUAUUUAUUUGGUUUUUUAUAGUUAUGUGUAUUUAUAUUCUAAAAUAAUAUAAGUAUGAAGAUAGAUAGAAAUACUUAUCGAGGUAAAUGGGGGUGCUCUCCCCCAAGCUGAAUUUUGACGUAAUUUCUCUUGAUGUAGCUAGCAGGUGGCAGAGGUGUAUUUGAAAGUCAGCAGCAUUCUGACAGCAAUUAGAAUGUCCUCCGUCUGCUAGUCUUCUUGAUUCUUAAAUUCUGUGGAGCUCAAAUAGACAACAAAGCUUGUGGAACUCUUGGCAAGGCGUUCGGUGUUUUUAAGUCCUCCGAAUGGGACUCCUUGUGUUUUCAGUCAUCCUGGGAUUAGCUAGGUGGCGUAGUCGGUGAUUCCGGUGGCGCCUCCUCUUUGUGUAUAACUAUGUUCUCUUUCCACACCUGACUCGGUGCUACGGUCUCCUCAGGACAGUUCUGUUCAAGUUGUAUGUCUUCAGUCCUUAUCACUUUUCCUUCGUAGUCUACCCGUCCGUCCUUGAUGAUUUGCCUCCUCUAGUUGCGGUUGCGUUGUCUUCUUCUUGUCCUGACCUGCUUAGAAUCUUCAACUAUAUAGUUAGGGUCAGUAAAAUAACGGCGUACCUUCUCUGAGGGGAAGUGCAUAUGGACUUCUCCGGUUCCAAUGUAGAUAAUUGCUUUAACGGUACUGAGGAACGGUCUUCCAAGGAUGGUGGAUGGAUCAUAUUCGUCUUCUCCCAUAUCAAUGACCUGAAAAUUGUCUGAAGCUGAAUGUAUCUUGGUUGUAGGGGCAUGGUUCCGUGCAGGAGGUGAUAAGUGACUGCGGCCAUUAUGUUGUCGUCAGAUCCGGUGUCGUAGAGUGUCUUCUGAAAAGAGUAUUCGUUGAUUGUGCACUUGAUGCUUGAAACACCAGGGUCGUUCUUCUUGAUCAAGAAAGGUCACUUGAGUCGACGAUCUUGACCUCCUUGAGCUGCAGUGACCAUCUCAGCUGACUCGGUCCACAUUUGCUUGUUCUUCUUCCUCCUGUUGGUCCUCUUCCUUGGUUCAUGUUAGGAUUGCUCUGAAGUUUGUGUAGUCUUGUUCUUGAAGGAAAGUCUCCUUCUUCCCCUUGAUGUAGAAACGGAUCUUGGCAGCAUUAGCGUAGAUGACAGCUCUGGUGUUUAGGAAUGGCCUCCCUAAGAUGAUGGGUGCUCUCUCAUCAUUUCCGGUCUCUACCACUACGAAGUCUGCUGGGGCAUACAAGGUACCAACUCGGACACAAAGGUUCUUCAAUAUUCCUUUUGGAAAAGUUAUCGCCUGAUCUCCAUUGUGUUUGUGCUUGUAGAUCCCGGUUCUUCACAUGAUGGAAUCUGGGAGUUGUAAAACGCCUUCACGUUUCUCAAAAUGUGUCCUGCUCAUAGAGACAAGGCAGAGAUCAAGUGCAUGGGCCCUGUUGGUGGAAAACACCAACAGAACCAAAAGUGUAUUUGUUCUUCUCUAACCUUAAGCAUAGUGAGCAAGACAAAGUUGAUGGAUCAUGAGUGUAGCAUUUAAAACAUUUGUUAGAUCAGAUGGCUCAACCUAAUGGAAAGAUAAUCUAUCUAUAUUUAUGUUUUGUUUAUAUCUUCCAAAGAUUGAAUGUGCAAUACUUUAGCUUAUAUGAUUAGGAGUGUGGGAUCACAAAGGUAGUACCAAGAACAAAGAUUAAAGGACUAAACAUGUUGAAUUAAUUGGGUUGAUUAAUUUGGAGCCACAAAUCAUACAUGUUUGUCUCUUUAUUUUAUGUGAACGCUAGAACCAAGGAGAAGUUUAUAAAAGUGAUAGUCAAGUACCUUAAAAUGUUACCUUACCUGAGGAGUGACGGUACAGUAUCACCUUGUGGAAGCUUUCCUUUCUUAGCGGUUGUGCAUCGUGUUUGUGGCACCCUCCAUAGAUCAUAUCUUUAUGAUGAAUGAGCUAUGUCCUUCUUGUGCAAAUUGUUAAACUUCAUGUGUCUCCUUUAUCUCCAAUGAGUUUGUAUCUCAGGACUUCCCAGGUUGAUAUUGAAAGUUUUCCUGCAGGGGUUAGUCCAACAAAAUAUACCAAUAUCUACUCAAGCAGUUUUUAGUUCAGUAACCAAACUAGACUCCAUGUCUAAUCAGAUUAAGGAAGGCUAUUUAACCUAAGCACCACGCUUAAUUUAAAUGCCAUUGGAAGUGUGUCUAGUACUUCCAAACUAACACUUACUAGGAUAAACAAAGGUAGCAUGAUGGCUUUUAUAGAGAUCUACUCAAGUGGAGAUGAAGUAGUGUGAUUAGUAUUUAACAAAUUGAGUAUGUCUCAAAGGUAAGGACAACCAACAUAGCAACAUGGCAAAGGAUGUUUUAUGUAAAGUACUCCCCCAAGCUUGAAUUUUGCAAAAUUCAAGAUUGGAUGAAUUUAAUUUAAUGUUGCAUGAUGAUUGGUUGGGCAUACCUUGCGCUUGUCAUUCAUCCGAUCUUCUUGCUCCAAUCCUAGAAAGGUUAGUGGCAAGAAUACCCGAAGGAAUAUUUCUACAAUUAUCUUUAUAUGCUCAAUACACAAGGCAAUGUUGCAAAUAAUUAGAAGUGCUUGUUUUAGGACACUAAGCUUGUCCUUGGGAAACCAUCAAUUAACUCAACGAGAUCUGCAAUAUUUAUUAUAGACAUAUGCAUCGACAACCGCUCUUUUAAAGUUUUUAUAAAUAGAAAAGAAGAGAGGGUUGGAGAUCUCAAAUGUGAUAAGGAUGGAGAGACUAAUUGAUUGGAGAGAUGUUUUAUAUGAGCAAGGACUGGGUAAGGUAUUUAUGAAAUAACUUCCAUGCUCACUGUUGUUUCUCUCAUUCUCAAACUCCAAGGAUGAUUCUUCAUGAAUGCUAAAAAUUCCUCUAGGAUUGUCUCUCAAGUUUGUUUUAUCUAUCCAUUCAAUGGUGAUAGCACAUGGAUUUUUAAUGCCCUCUAGCCAUUGAUGUUGCUCUUCUCGAUCCUCCUUCUUAUGCAUGGGAUGUCUAGAUAGAUUUAUAGGAUUAUCGGGAGGUUCAAGAGAAAGAGCAUAGUAGAAAUUGUUAAGCUCAAGGAUGGGUUGGAUAGCCGAAUCAUGGGAUUGGAAUGUUUGGAAAUCGGCUAUUGAAACUUCCUUUCCUUGUCUGGGAGAUGAUUCCUUCUCUAUCUCUAAGAUUUUUCUAUGAAGACUAGUGCAAGAAGGAUGUCCACAAAUGAAGACAUACCUUCCUUUACUAAUAGAUAAAGAAAGAAGGACUCCACCAAAGGUUAUAUGAUUAAGACCAAUGUGAAAAUAUCGAGAAAAAACAUGGUCUUGUAGGGCUAGGUCUAAACCAGAAUUUAUAGAAAGAUUAACAGAUUCCCUAGGUGUAGCUAAAAGGGCAUUAUCUUCUUGAUUAAAAGAUAGGACCUCGGCUAUAGAAAAGGGUUGGUUUUGACCUAUUGCAAUCAACUCCGGACACAGAUCAUAAUUAGGGGCAGGACGUGUUGACUCCCAUGGUCUAUGGCUGAUCUCCGAAGGUGCAAAGAAUUCAAUAAUAGGUAUGGAAUUUGAGUUAUCCAUAAAGAUAAAAAUAAAAAGAUAAAAGAAUAAAAGUAUAAAAGUAUAAUACAAGAUAAUAGCAAGACUCAAAGUUAUCUCAGCAAACCGUCUUUCUCCCAGGCAACGGCGCCAGAAAUGCUUGUUGAUAUUUGGUAACGCAAUUAUAAAAUGAUCCGCAAGCGCACGGAUAUCGGUGAGCAUUUCACCCGGGAGGUUAUCCAGAGUUAUCGUAUUUAUAUUUUUACCACUGGGAGAAAGGGUGCAUCUGACUAACCAAAUCUAUUGCUACUACCCCUUUAGGCUACAAAGAAUGUUUCUCGAUGUGAGUGAUGUAUAGAGAAGACUGCAACCGUAGUCUCAUUCUAACCUUGGUAAGGAUGAUCUACUGUUCUAUUGGGGAGGCUCACGGAAUCUAGACAACACAAAGGAUGUUCGACCCGCACCUAUAAACCUACCCGUCCUGCUAACGAGAUGUGAUCUACAAAGGUAACUCGGAAAUGUCACGUUCCUCGCUACUACCACGGUCCAGCUAGUCAGGGGAUAUCUAUGAGUACCCUAGCCUAAACACCACGUUUACGCUAACAAGUGAUUACUCUAAUACUCAACCGGAAGAGGAUUAAAGUAAACUCAUAAACCAAAGAACAAUAAAACAAGAACUUACUAGUAUUAGAAGUCGAAUUACUGAAGAAUCUUAGAAGCAAGCCUCGGGUUAGGAGACUUGAUCCCGUAGGUACAACUCGGAGUAGACACCGACAGGCCGGCCUUCCUCCGAUCCAUACCUCCACUCUAUCUCUCUCAAUCUAGUAGAAACUAGAAGAUUUAUUUCUACUUUACAUUGGUUGCUAAGCCUAAAAAGAAAUAUUAUUUAGAGAAGAGGUUUUCCUUCGAGGGCACCCCUCAAUCUCUAUGAUAAUUUCUUGUCUCCUCCAGGGGCCAGAGGGGGUCUCCUUAUAUAGUCCUCCCCUUCUAUGCAUUUUUGGGUCGAUAGGCGAGGUGGUACUAUGUUAUUCUGGAUCCAAUAGGUCGGUGGAACGUCGUGUGCGAAGAGAGUCCGGAACGGAGUCCAGAGGUGGGCGGGCGCCCAGGUCCUCAGGGCGGGCGCCCUGGGCCUGGCCCCUUUCGGGCUCUGCUUCCUUCCCGUGGCUUCUGGAGUCUUCUAGAUGGUAGAAAAUUGCACGGUGGGUUGAUAUCUCUAUGUAAUCCCGACAUGUGGGCCUUUCUUCCUUAUUUCCUGAUAACCCCCUGCAGAAAUAGACAAACACCAAAACUCGUAGAAUUCUGUCAGAUAAAACCCUAGGUCUAGGUGUUGGUUGCAUUUGGAUCCUUUUCUUUAUUUAUUUGAUGAUUAUAUUUGGUACUUAAGGACCGUCAACAACUCCCCCAAGCUUACCUCUUGCUCGUCCCUGAGCAAGGAUGGACUCAAGAGUUUCUGCAGUGGUUUUAUUUCUUAGAAGUACACACGCAUUUAAGCAAGAUCUCAUCUCUGAGUUAGAAUAAACUGUUAAGACUUAAAACUUACUCAUUUUACCUUUCACCAUGGGGCUUGUAACGUCACUUGUGUCUUGAGUAGUUAAAAGAUAGAACGGUCAAGUCAAGCACCAUGUAUCUUGUUCUUUGAUCAACUAUAGCUCUGGAGUUUUUGCAGAUUUUCAAAUAAAACUCAGAGAUUCCUUGUAUAAUUCUCUCUAGUCUCUCUUUUGUGGUAUUUCUGGAUCCUUACCAAGGCAGUAAUGGGAUAUGCCUUCUCUCACAGUAUGUGGUAUUUUUGGUAUGAGGCAUAGUGAUAUUGCCUUCUCUCUCACCCUACUCUAGUAAGGUUUUGAUAUCUGGAGCUCAUAGGUGGGAGACAGCUAAUACAUACUUACAAGACAUUUAUUGCAUAGUCAAACCAUGGAUCCAGAGAAACAAGUCAAUAAGUCAAAUCAAGAUGUGCAUGUGUGGCGAGUGAAUGGUGUAUGGCGAUGAUGGAGAUAACAAUGGUGAAAGACUAAUUCUACUUUUGCUCUUUUAAGGGGAUACAUACCUUUCUUGCACUUAGAAGCUUUUUGGGGAGAAUGAGAUGCUCUAUAUUUUCUUUUUCUUACCUCUCAGGUGGGUAUCUUGUACACUUUUUCUUUUCUUCAAGGUUCCAGGCACUUGCCCCUUUUUAUUUCCUCGUAUAUUUUUUUUCUCUCUUUUUUUUAGAGCACUCAUCUCCUGAAAUAAUGUAGCAAGUGGUAGUAACCAAAAUAACUCGAGCAUUUAUUUCACAAGGGGAAACAGAAAUAUUUUUGGUUAUUCUCUCCCGGAUUAGGAGUAGAAUACUUUUGGGUGGUUUUGGAGAUGGAAAUGAGUGGAUAUAUGUGGAUGGUACUUCCGGAGUAGAAGUAGCAUGUAAGAGUGAACGUGCAAGUGAAUCUUGAUUUAACCACAUGACAAGCUCCUAAGGGUCUACACAGCUUGACCACACUCAAUGCUCAUAAGCAGUAAAUAGUAAAUGUGUGGCUCAAGGUCUAGCAAGCAUGUAUAUAUGGCUGUGGUAGGAAUUUAAACUCUCAUCAUACAGGAACUCAUCAUGCAACAUUUUAAAGAUUUUCAAAGAUAAAAUUCUCCAGAAUUCUGGCAUCUCUAGGAACAGAUAAACAGCAGCUCAACCUUCCCAUAUCGUAUCCGUUAACAACUUAGACUUCAGAUCAAGUUUUCAUCCCACAAAUUUAGGUCUAGAGCAAGCCUUAAAUUAUAACAGUUAUAUCUAAACUUGAGAGAGAACUUCAAAUUUGCAAAUUAGGCAGAGUAACUAUUCAUCAUAUCCAUGCUUAAGUUUUAUUAGAUACCGAUUAGCAUAGCCACUUUAUUUAUUUAUUAAACACACUAAGCAAAAUAUAUAUAAGCAUAAAAUCUUUAUUUGGUUUUUUAUAGUUAUGUGUAUUUAUAUUCUAAAAUAAUAUAAGUAUGAAGAUAGAUAGAAAUACUUAUCGAGGUAAAUGGGGGUGCUCUCCUCCAAGCUAAAUUUUGACGUAAUUUCUCUUGAUGUAGCUAGCAAGUGGCAGAGGUGUAUUUGAAAGUCAGCAGCAUUCUGACAGCAAUUAGAAUGUCCUCCGUCUACUAGUCUUCUUGAUUCUUAAAUUCUGUGGAGCUCAAAUAGACAACAAAGCUUGUGGAACUCUUGGCAAGGCGUUCGGUGUUUUUAAGUCCUCCGAAUGGGACUCCUUGUGUUUUCAGUCGUCCUGGGAUUAGCUAGGUGGCGUAGUCGGUGAUUCCGGUGGCGCCUCCUCUUUGUGUAUAACUAUGUUCUCUUUCCACACCUGACUCGGUGCUACGGUCUCCUCAGGACAGUUCUGUUCAAGUUGUAUGUGUUCAGUCCUUAUCACUUUUCCUUCGUAGUCUACCCGUCCGUCCUUGAUGAUUUGCCUCCUCUGGUUGCGGUUGCGUUGUCUUCUUCUUGUCCUGACCUGCUUAGAAUCUUCAACUAUAUAGUUAGGGUUAGUAAAAUAAUGGCGUACCUUCUCUGAGGGGAAGUGCAUAUGGACUUCUCCGGUUCCAAUGUAGAUAAUUGCUUUAACGGUGCUGAGGAACGGUCUUCCAAGGAUGGUGGAUGGAUCAUAUUCGUCUUCUCCCAUAUCAAUGACCUGAAAAUUGUCUGAAGCUGAAUGUAUCUUGGUUGUAGGGGCAUGGUUCCGUGCAGGAGCUGAUAAGUGACUGCGGCCAUUAUGUUGUCGUCAGAUCCGGUGUCGUAGAGUGUCUUCUGA
RNAcentral lists this long non-coding RNA (8823 nucleotides) under Sorghum bicolor (sorghum). RNAcentral describes it as "long non-coding RNA (SBIC_LNC015986)". Lineage: Eukaryota; Viridiplantae; Streptophyta; Magnoliopsida; Poales; Poaceae. The record is from RNAcentral.